Apteryx owenii (little spotted kiwi) is the source of this 575-nucleotide long non-coding RNA. NCBI's taxonomy places the organism in Eukaryota, Metazoa, Chordata, Aves, Apterygiformes, Apterygidae. The record is from Ensembl.
AGAACACAAGCCUGCAUACAUUCUCGGGUAACAUGCAGAUACACACAUACAUAAUAUGCAUACACAGGCAGUAUGUUUUUUAUUCUCCUUUCUUACAGCCUGCCAUAAGGCCAAAAGGUCCCCCACCUCCUGUCCCAUCUACCAAAGCAGCCGCUUCUCACACAGGAGAGCGCUUCGCACCAGAAAGAAAAUCUGCUCCUUUCCCAGUUCCCAAAGGCAAACCUCCACCUCCACCAAAGGCUUUAAAACCUCCUGCUAAUCCCAGAGUGUGAAGCGUCUGAAGUAGGGCUGAUCAAGAAUCCUGAAAUUUUCAGGGACAGUUUGUUCUGCGAUUCCUCCAUUUUUGGCAAAGGCAACUGAGAUAGUCUUCCUGUUUUCUAUUAAAAAAAAGAACAAAUGACUGACAGCUGCUUUGAGAGAAAAAGUUUGUUUUUCAAACAGUGAGGAACUCUUUGGUCGUGACAUCAAGCUGCUGUCCGAAAGGAAACCAAGCAAAAUAGCUACUUGCACUGAGGUGUAGACUGGGAGGGAAUUAUGAAAGCUGCUUACAUACCCUAACUCUUAGGCCACCACCC